RNAcentral lists this ribosomal RNA (336 nucleotides) under uncultured bacterium. RNAcentral describes it as "bacterial SSU rRNA". It matches the Rfam family "Bacterial small subunit ribosomal RNA", at positions 568 to 898 of the family's 1533-position model. The record is from RNAcentral.
CGUGUAGGCGGGAAUUUUAAGUCAGAUAGUCGAAAGCCCAUGGCUCAACUGUGGAAUUGCAUCUGAAACUAAGUUUCUUGAGUGUUGGAGAGGAAAGUGGAAUUCCUAGUGUAGCGGUGAAAUGCGUAGAUAUUAGGAGGAACACCAGUGGCGAAGGCGACUUUCUGGACAAUAACUGACGCUGAGGCGCGAAAGUGUGGGGAGCAAACAGGAUUAGAUACCCUGGUAGUCCACACUGUAAACGAUGGAUACUAGGUGUAGGAGGUAUCGACCCCUUCUGUGCCGCAGCUAACGCAAUAAGUAUCCCACCUGGGGAGUACGGCCGACAAGGUUGAA